AGUCACACAGCUACUCCUAUCUGUAUGGGAGCCAGGGAAUAUAGUCUCUCUACGUGGCCAGGAAAAAAAAAGAAAGAAGGUUGGGGCCAGUCACCCCCACAUCCCUUUAUGGAGGCUUCCAGAUCAUGGAUCCUGUCACGCGCAUCCCGGUGAAGAGAGUCCACCAACAGGCUUUGUAAACUGCAAAACAAGGAAAUUGUGUAGAUAGCAAGGUCAGAGAAGUGACUGAAAAAUGUGGCUGUAGAAUAUAAAAGAGUAAGUAAUUCAAUACAUUCUCUGAGUCAUAAAGUAGAAGUAGAAAGAAACCUCAAGAGGUCAUUUGGUUG
This 326-nucleotide long non-coding RNA is filed under the name Homo sapiens (human). RNAcentral describes it as "non-protein coding lnc-SNX6-2:1". Lineage: Eukaryota; Metazoa; Chordata; Mammalia; Primates; Hominidae. The record is from RNAcentral.